Molecule: long non-coding RNA, 451 nt
Organism: Solanum tuberosum (potato)
Lineage: Eukaryota; Viridiplantae; Streptophyta; Magnoliopsida; Solanales; Solanaceae
Exons: 2
Source: RefSeq, a predicted model, not a curated record
CUCUUCAGCUCCCCCUACAAUUUCCAACAAAAUCGUGGAGCUCCAGUUGUGCGCCGGCGAUGUGAACGCCCAACAUAAAAAACACCUCCGAUCCUCAGUAGCACUACAAACACUUCCAUGUUCGGCUUGUAAUCAUCUGGAUGUCAAAACUUCUCACUGACAUCAUGAUUCAACACCAACGAAGACUUCUUCAACAUGAAUGUGACAUAGCUAGACUUAAAACAAAAGAAUGAAUCCCAAAGGAGUUGGUACCACUGUUAAAGAGGAAAAAGUGUUCAGUUGUCAAAACAGGUAUUGAGAAAUCUGUUAUUGAAAGUAUCCUAUGCUUCCUCAGUUGUUUGUUGUAUGUUUAGCUUCCUUGAUUCAGCUCGCCUGUUGUUUACUCCUGUAGCUUGUACCCAGUAUUUUGAACUCUUUUUAUUCUUAGAUAUGGCAUGCUGUUUUUUUCCAA